Small nucleolar RNA from Salmo trutta (river trout), 130 nucleotides. The record is from Ensembl. Lineage: Eukaryota; Metazoa; Chordata; Actinopteri; Salmoniformes; Salmonidae.
UAGCACAUCACAUUGUCCUGUUCUUCCCUUGUAAGAGCUGAGAUAUUUCUUAUGUGCUAAAUAAACCUUGGAGGUAAAUUAGCAGAAUGGCUGUUUUCUGUGCCAACCUGCCAGUCCCCUUCAUACAUCU